AGAGUUUGAUCCUGGCUCAGGAUGAACGCUAGCGGCAGGCCUAAUACAUGCAAGUCGAACGGAUUUUGAGUUUUCGGAUUCAGAAUUAGUGGCGCACGGGUGCGUAACGCGUACACAACAUACCCUUGACAGGGGGAUAGCGGCGGGAAACUGCCAGUAAUACCCCAUAUCGUUAUGAGACGGCAUCGUUUUAUAAUGAAAGUUUCGGCGGUUCGGGAUUGGUGUGCGUCCGAUUAGCUAGUUGGAGAGGUAACGGCUCACCAAGGCGAUGAUCGGUAGGGGGUGUGAGAGCAUGGCCCCCCACACGGGUACUGAGACACGGACCCGACUCCUACGGGAGGCAGCAGUAAGGAAUAUUGGACAAUGGGCGGAAGCCUGAUCCAGCCAUGCCGCGUGAAGGAAGACUGCGCUCAGCGUUGUAAACUUCUUUUGGAUGGGAAUAAUAAUGUCGACGUGAUCGGCACUUGAAGGUACCAUCAGAAUAAGCACCGGCUAACUCCGUGCCAGCAGCCGCGGUAAUGCGGAGGGUGCAAGCGUUAUCCGGAAUCACUGGGUUUAAAGGGUGCGUAGGCGGUUUGAUAAGUCAGUUGUGAAAUUCCCCGGCUUAACCGGCGGGACUGCGAUUGAUACUGUCAGACUUGAAUUAGGUUGAGGUAGGUGGAAUGUGGCAUGUAGCGGUGAAAUGCAUAGAUAUGCCAUAGAACACCGAUUGCGAAGGCAGCUUGCUGGACCUUAAUUGACGCUGAGGCACGAAAGCGUGGGGAGCAAACAGGAUUAGAUACCCUGGUAGUCC
This 793-nucleotide ribosomal RNA is filed under the name uncultured bacterium. RNAcentral's name for it is "bacterial SSU rRNA". It matches the Rfam family "Bacterial small subunit ribosomal RNA", at positions 8 to 796 of the family's 1533-position model. The record is from RNAcentral.